RNAcentral lists this unclassified non-coding RNA (205 nucleotides) under uncultured Sebacinaceae. Its description in RNAcentral is "sequence contains ITS2". Lineage: Eukaryota; Fungi; Basidiomycota; Agaricomycetes; Sebacinales; Sebacinaceae. The record is from RNAcentral.
GUACUCUCACACUCUCUGAUUUCAGAUUGGGGGGCGGUGGACUUGGGUGUUGCUGCUUCGCGGUGGCUCAUCUCAAAUGCAGUAGUGCACCUCUUGGUUGGACAUAGUACAGCGUGAUAAGUAUCUUCGCUGGCACCUCGCAUGAGGGUGUCUGAUUGGGAGCUCUGUGCUUCUAACAGUCCCUUGAUUGGGACACACUCUGACA